UACGUAGGGGGCGAGCGUUGUCCGGAUUCAUUGGGCGUAAAGAGCUCGUAGGCGGCUUACUAAGUCGAGUGUGAAACCUCCAGGCUCAACCUGGAGCCUGCACUUGGUACUGGUAUGGCUUGAGUCCGGUAGGGGACCACGGAAUUCCUGGUGUAGCGGUGAAAUGCGCAGAUAUCAGGAGGAACACCUGUGGUGUAGACAGCUUACUGGACCACUUCUGACGCUGAGACACGAAAGCGUGGGUAGCAAACAGG
RNAcentral lists this ribosomal RNA (254 nucleotides) under uncultured bacterium. RNAcentral describes it as "partial 16S ribosomal RNA". It matches the Rfam family "Bacterial small subunit ribosomal RNA", at positions 524 to 776 of the family's 1533-position model. The record is from RNAcentral.